GGGCGGGGGCAGGGGGGCACUCACGAGAAGCCCGGCUGCGCUGAAUCCGAUUUAGGCAGGCAGGCAGGCAGGCCCCCCCCAGGUGGGGCGCUCUAGCUCGGUUUCCGGGAGGCGAUUCACCUGCCUAACCUGCCACCCAGCCCCUCCCCGAAGACCUGCCGCCAAGCCUGCAAGGAAUUACCGUCCAGGCCUGUAAUUCUUGCGCUCUGGGAGGCUGAGGCAGAGGGCGAGGCAGCGAGAGGCCUGACACUUCAGCUCCAACGCCUCACUCCAGCUUAUUCUGGACUUUUCUAAGUCCCACUGUACCCUUAGCCCCAGUCUUGACUCCUAUGCACGAGUCUAGCCCCUUAAGACCCAGCUGUGCCUCAAAAUCAGCCUCAGCCCCAGAGCCCAGCAUCCCUGAUACCCCAGACCUAGUUCCAGCUCCAUCGUGGGCGGCCCACCAUAGGCCCUUGGUUUAUUUUCCUGGAGACCUCUAGUGGGUUAGAGGCCUUCCAGGUAGGCAGCUGGAGCUCCCAGAAUAAACUCUUCUUGGAGAAGCUCCACAUCCCCUGACAAGCCAGAGCUUCCUUCAGCUGUGCGGGCUGCCCUCCACCUACCCUGUGAACUGAGUCCCUCUCCGCCAGAGUCCGGCCAACCCGAUUCCUUCAGCUGAGAUGCCCCCUCCGACCUGGCUGACUGCACUCACGGGCUGUGCUUCCUCGGUGUUCCGUCUACAUCCGCCCUUCUUUGUUCUUAAUUGUCCUUUGGUUAAUUAGCUUUCACCCCCACCCCCACCCCCGCGAUGUGUAUCUGCAGCCAGUUCAGGGUUAGCGCCGGUUUACUCGGCACGGAGAUCCCAGCAGCCAGCACUCGGUAGCCUGGACGUGCAGGGUCCUUGCUAAAUGUUCGCUGAGUGGCUGGCUAAAUAAAACUGUGAACUGA
This is a long non-coding RNA of Meriones unguiculatus (Mongolian gerbil), 924 nucleotides long. RefSeq lists it as uncharacterized. Lineage: Eukaryota; Metazoa; Chordata; Mammalia; Rodentia; Muridae. The record is from RefSeq and is a predicted model, not a curated record. The transcript has 2 exons.